RNAcentral lists this transfer RNA (72 nucleotides) under bacterium ADurb.Bin425. RNAcentral describes it as "tRNA-Trp". RNAcentral also lists the same sequence under 3 other names. The record is from RNAcentral.
GCGUCGCAGGACAUGGUGUCCAAACUUCCUCCAAAGUUGUAGGAGCAGGUUCGAUUCCUGCGCGGCGCGCCA